RNAcentral lists this ribosomal RNA (253 nucleotides) under uncultured bacterium. Its description in RNAcentral is "partial 16S ribosomal RNA". It matches the Rfam family "Bacterial small subunit ribosomal RNA", at positions 524 to 776 of the family's 1533-position model. The record is from RNAcentral.
UACGUAGGGACCGAGCGUUAUCCGGAUUCAUUGGGCGUAAAGAGCUCGUAGGCGGCUAUCCAAGUCGAACGUGAAAUCUCGGAGCUCAACUCCGAGCCUGCGUUCGAUACUGUAUGGCUAGAGUCUGGUAGGGGGAUCUGGAAUUCCUGGUGUAGCGGUGGAAUGCGCAGAUAUCAGGAGGAACACCGGUGGCGAAGGCGGGAUCCUGGGCCAGUACUGACGCUGAGGAGCGAAAGCGUGGGGAGCAAACAGG